UUUGCUGGACGUGUGCUCGCUCGGAGCAUUAGGUUUUUCGAGAGGAAAGUCCGGACAUCUCAGGGCAUGAUUCCAGGCGAAAGUCUGGGCUGUGAAAUUAUAAAAAUUCGCAGACGGAAAGUGCAACAGAAAGUAUACCGCCGAAAGGUAAGGGUGAAAUGGCGAGGUAAGAGCUCACCGGGGCUGAAGUAAUUCAGCCAGCAAUGAAAACCCAAUCAGAUGCAAGGCAAAAUAGGCAAGGGGACUGCCCAUCCAAUGCUUGCGGGUUUGCCGCAUUCCGCAGGGAAAAUGAGGUUCACUAAAUGGGUGAAGUUCAUUAGAUAAAUGAGCAUGGCGACGAAGGUCGAACAAAAUCCGGCUUAUAGUCCAGCAAAACAU
Molecule: RNase P RNA, 378 nt
Filed under: Puniceicoccales bacterium
Lineage: Bacteria; Pseudomonadati; Verrucomicrobiota; Opitutia; Puniceicoccales
Description: RNase P RNA component class A
Rfam family: Bacterial RNase P class A
About the family: Ribonuclease P (RNase P) is a ubiquitous endoribonuclease, found in archaea, bacteria and eukarya as well as chloroplasts and mitochondria. Its best characterised activity is the generation of mature 5'-ends of tRNAs by cleaving the 5'-leader elements of precursor-tRNAs.
Source: RNAcentral